RNAcentral lists this ribosomal RNA (466 nucleotides) under Vreelandella stevensii. RNAcentral describes it as "partial 16S ribosomal RNA". It matches the Rfam family "Bacterial small subunit ribosomal RNA", at positions 338 to 795 of the family's 1533-position model. Lineage: Bacteria; Pseudomonadati; Pseudomonadota; Gammaproteobacteria; Oceanospirillales; Halomonadaceae. The record is from RNAcentral.
CCUACGGGCGGCAGCAGUGGGGAAUAUUGGACAAUGGGCGAAAGCCUGAUCCAGCCAUGCCGCGUGUGUGAAGAAGGCCUUCGGGUUGUAAAGCACUUUCAGUGGGGAAGAAAGCCUUGGGGCUAAUACCCUCGAGGAAGGACAUCACCCUCAGAAGAAGCACCGGCUAACUCCGUGCCAGCAGCCGCGGUAAUACGGAGGGUGCGAGCGUUAAUCGGAAUUACUGGGCGUAAAGCGCGCGUAGGCGGUCUGAUAAGCCGGUUGUGAAAGCCCCGGGCUCAACCUGGGAACGGCAUCCGGAACUGUCAGGCUAGAGUGCAGGAGAGGAAGGUAGAAUUCCCGGUGUAGCGGUGAAAUGCGUAGAGAUCGGGAGGAAUACCAGUGGCGAAGGCGGCCUUCUGGACUGACACUGACGCUGAGGUGCGAAAGCGUGGGUAGCAAACAGGAUUAGAUACCCCUGGUAGUC